AACGAACGCUGGCGGCGUGCCUAAUACAUGCAAGUCGAACGAGGAAGUCGGGGCUUGCGGUGCUGGGUGGGUUAAGGAGUGGGGAGUAACGCGUAGGUACGCUGCCAGUUAGCGAAGGGUAACUAUUGGAAGAGAAAGCUCUUAGGGCAUAAGAGUAGAUGCUGCUUGACAGUUACUUGAAAGGUGCGAUUGUAUGACUAGCAAAUGCACCUGAGUUGUAUUAGCUAGUGGGGGGGGUAACGGAUGACCAAGGCGACGAGGCAUAGCCGACCUGAGAGGGUGAGAGGCCACACUGGGACUGAGACACGGCCCAGACUCCUACGGGAGGCAGCAGUAGGGAAUCUUCGGCAAUGGACGGAAGUCUGACCGAGCAACGCCGCGUGAGUGAAGAAGGUUUUCGGAUCGUAAAGCUCUGUUGUAAGAGAAGAACGAGUGUGAGAGUGGAAAGUUCACACUGUGACGGUAUCUUACCAGAAAGGGACGGCUAACUACGUG
This 495-nucleotide ribosomal RNA is filed under the name uncultured bacterium. RNAcentral describes it as "partial 16S ribosomal RNA". It matches the Rfam family "Bacterial small subunit ribosomal RNA", at positions 29 to 507 of the family's 1533-position model. The record is from RNAcentral.